CUUAUUAUCAGUAACAAGUCAAUAAUAUCUCUCUGUUUAAAAAAAUAAUAAUAAAAAUAUUUUUCUAUUAACCAUAAUGAGACAGAUAAAUUUAAGAAAAAUAAUCUCAUUUAUUAAGAACAUCAUGUCAGUAAUAUAACUAAUGCAUUUAGAACUUUUCGUUGACUACACCCUUUAUUGAAGUACUCCUCUCUCUCUCUCUCUCUCUCUCUAGAUCUUUUAUGAUUGUUUUAGAUGGUAUAAGAGUUACAAGUAGGAGUAAAAGAAAUUUGGAUAAAUUUUGAUUUAAUCCGACAACGGAUUCGAUAGAAUGACAAUAUAUAUAGGGAGAAACUUCAAAAACCCCCCUGGGUUUCGUAGUUUUUUACUUUGACCCCCUGUGGUUUAAAAUGUAUCAAAUUGCUUCCUGUGGUUUCGUUUUUAUCUUUUCGAGCUUUUUCGUUAAUAUUUCAUUAAAUUAUUUACAAAAAACUUCAGAUACCCAUCUAGAUUUAUCAAAUAUUCACUUUAGUACCCUUUAAUUUUAACUUUAUCACUGAUUUAAGAAAAAAAAAUAAUAAAAUUGAUAAUAAAAAGAGAAAAAAGAAACCAUAUGGGGGCAAAUUGAUACAUUUUAAACAACAGGGGGGCAAAGUGAGAAACUACGAAAUUACGGAAAAGUUUUUCCU
RNAcentral lists this long non-coding RNA (668 nucleotides) under Ananas comosus (pineapple). RNAcentral describes it as "long non-coding RNA (ACOM_LNC003970)". Lineage: Eukaryota; Viridiplantae; Streptophyta; Magnoliopsida; Poales; Bromeliaceae. The record is from RNAcentral.